CUGAGGUUGAAGUUGAGUAACCAGCAUGAGAUCUCACAGUGAACCGGACCUACCUCUGGCGCCAAGACUUGGAAUUGUGUGCGGGAAGGUGAAGACAAGUUCUUAAAGACCACUUCCUGCUAAAGGCGUUCCUCACCUGUUCUAGGAAUAAGAGAAGAGAAUUAGGGAGGAAAAAGGAAUAUUUCUGGGCCAUUCUCUUUCCGGGACCACUUCUAAAACUGUUCCUGAAGGGAGAAAGGAGACAGAAAAAUGGUUGUCAGGUGGAACUUUGAUGGUAACUAGCUUCUGCAAUUGUCUCAAGUGUUGACUACAGAAUGUUACAAACAAGCUUCACUUUUCUUCAAUGAAGAGAAAGAAUGUUGCUAUAAAAUGCU
Long non-coding RNA from Eptesicus fuscus (big brown bat), 374 nucleotides. RefSeq lists it as uncharacterized. The record is from RefSeq and is a predicted model, not a curated record. NCBI's taxonomy places the organism in Eukaryota, Metazoa, Chordata, Mammalia, Chiroptera, Vespertilionidae. The transcript has 3 exons.